AGGGAAUCUUCCACAAUGGACGAAAGUCUGAUGGAGCAACGCCGCGUGAGCGAUGAAGGCCUUCGGGUCGUAAAGCUCUGUUGUUAGGGAAGAACAAGUAUCGGAGUAACUGCCGGUACCUUGACGGUACCUAACCAGAAAGCCACGGCUAACUACGUGCCAGCAGCCGCGGUAAUACGUAGGUGGCAAGCGUUGUCCGGAAUUAUUGGGCGUAAAGCGCGCGCAGGCGGUCCUUUAAGUCUUAUGUGAAAGCCCACGGCUCAACCGUGGAGGGUCAUUGGAAACUGGGGGACUUGAGUGCAGAAGAGGAAAGCGGAAUUCCACGUGUAGCGGUGAAAUGCGUAGAGAUGUGGAGGAACACCAGUGGCGAAGGCGGCUUUCUGGUCUGUAACUGACGCUGAAGCACGAAAGCAUGGGUAGCAAAC
Molecule: ribosomal RNA, 425 nt
Filed under: uncultured bacterium
Lineage: Bacteria
Description: bacterial SSU rRNA
Rfam family: Bacterial small subunit ribosomal RNA
Source: RNAcentral